Long non-coding RNA from Cyclopterus lumpus (lumpfish), 6442 nucleotides. RefSeq lists it as uncharacterized. The transcript is spliced from 4 exons. The record is from RefSeq and is a predicted model, not a curated record. NCBI's taxonomy places the organism in Eukaryota, Metazoa, Chordata, Actinopteri, Perciformes, Cyclopteridae.
GCAAAUAACUAUGAAACACACAAGGAUGAAUAUCAUUCUACAAUUCUUUAAAAAAGUUUCUCUUUUGGGUAAAUUUGAGACUUUUCAACCAGAGAAAGUAAUAAAUGCAGUUUUAGUGCAUCAUCAAUUAUUUGAUAAUAAACAUUUUCCAUUGGCAGAUUUAAACUAUAUUGGUCAUCAUACUGGAAACAUAUCUAUUGAGUCAUAUGGUUUAAUAUAAAGGGGAAUUCAGCUCCUGUCAGCAGCUGUCUAUUUUCCGAAUGAGCUUUUACAGGAAAUAUUCUGGUUUUAGCACUUUCAUUGUACAUUUCCAUUUUAAAAAAAGGGAACUUCAGUGUUGCAAAUGUUAAAGACAAACGACACGACUUCACUCUCAACUCAGACCUUGACGCACUAAGUUGAAGCCUUGUACGAUCAUGAUUGUCAAUAACACCUGUAUCCCUGAAAAUGACACCGCCACGUGUUCGGCCCCCGGAAGCUCCCUCACAGGUCUGGCUGUUGGGCUGACAUUUUUAUUCGUACUUCUACUGAUUGUAGCUGGUGUGAUCGUGUACAAAUACCACUGUAAAAUGAGGAGUAUGUUGCAGUUUGAACAAAGGAGAAGCCACAAAAAGCAGGACAAUACAGAGACGCCGCCAGAAGAUUCCCAUCAGUACAUCAGUAUAGAACAGUCAACAGGACAGAACUCUAUUUAUGAAAACCUGGCAACUCGAAAGACUGGAUUCACCAGGCCUGCAGUAAACAAGUUGCCUAGUGAAACUGAAGAGGAUGUGUACUUGCAGUGUGAUUCACCAGAUGAUGCAAUAUACAGCAAUGAUCCGGCGUGUAACCUCUUCAUCCUCUCAGACUUCCAGGAAGAAGACGUAUAUAUAGUGCCAGAUUCAUUGUAGGACACUUCUCUAUUCAUUGCUCAUGCAAUAAAUGUGCAUUUUUUUACAAGACAGAAAGGUGCUGCUGCCGUUUGAGAGAGCUGACAUGUAAACAAAAACAAUACUGUAGUUGCUGUAGCAUAUGGAUAUUAUACAGAUUAUUGUAUCCCUUUAUCUUAUUGUUUAAGUGUAACGUUAGGAAUAACUUGUACGAGCUGUUCUGUAUAUUCUGCUUACUGUGAUCUUUUAUUGCCCUUGUUUUUGGCAGUUAUAUUGGACGCACAGUAAUGCAAAUCACCACAUUUGGACAACAAUCCAAAUUAAUUAUCUUUUGAAUAUGGGUUGAUAUUUUUACGGCUUUCUCUUGAUAUGUCUAGAAUGACCUGUUACCUACUUGUGCUGAAGUCAUGCAUACAUUCUGCCUUUUUUUGUAUCAGCAAUAUUACAUUUGCCCUGAGAAAUAUUUUAGCUGCAUAGACAAUUCAUAUUUAAGUAAGUUAACAGGUAAAUAUAUAAAUAUAUAAAAACUAAUUGGGGUGUAUGCUCUACAUGCAUGCAUGUCUAAGUACGUGUUUUGUGUACAUUUAUGAUAUAUGUAGCAUUCAUUAUGUUUUAUAGAAAAGUGACAGAUCUUCUUUAUGUGGCCAACAUACUUUUCCUAAAAACAUUUUUAAUAUGUAUCAGCCUCAAAAGUUGUAGGAAUCCAGCUGCAUCACUGAUAUAGGUUUCAAUUAUUUCACUAAAUGAAUUGUGUUUGAUCAUUGAAACUUGUUUUGCUGGUAGUUUUGUUAUUACCAGCCACAACACAAAUGAUAUACAUUUAGUAGAUUAACAGAAUAGUUAUGGACUAUUUGCAAGGAUUUUUUUAAUAACACAAGAUUAUGAAGAUGAAAGACAAAUAACAUAAUAUUUAGAACAUUUUACAAGUGCAUUUUAAUUUCAACUAUCAUGUUCAUUGAAAAGGCUUGAACGAAUAACCACCUGUGAAAAACAUGUGAAAGGAGAGAACCAUUAUUGCUCACUCUUAUCAAAAUCCCUUUCAAUGAUAUAAUGUAAAUGAAAACAUGUGCAUUACAAACAUCCACAUUGUUAUAUAUACUAUGUGAGAAACAAUUGCCAUAUGUGGUACUUGCACACAAACAUACUUAACACAUCAUGACUUUUCAAACAUUCACUUCAUGCGUUUUGUGGUCAAGUUUUUGAGAACAGACACGAAGAGAGGAUGUGAAAACUGUUACCAUCUCUUUCCUUAAAAGAUUGAAGGGGGACGAGAGAUGUGUUACGAAAUGAGAGGUCGUGCUUCUCUGGAUGGGUAAUGACCAGAGAAUGACGGGGAGGUAUACAGGCCAUGACAUUUCUUUUACUUUUGUUUUUUAUUUUUGUUCCCUGUCAUUCUGGAAAUAAUUUCCGCAAUAGAUUUCCAGUAAGGCUACGUGAGGAUUAAAAUCAAGAGAAAGCCAAAUAGUGCCUAAUGAGUUUGUGCUGUCACACACAGAAGGUCCUUGAUAAAUACUGUCCCUAAUUCUUUUAUACUUGUAUACUUUGGGUGGUACUGCAACUCAGGACCUUUCAGAAUAUAAGAUUGAGGACUUUUACAUCCACCCACAGUUGUGUAAUAACCAAGGAUGUCAUCCCUGAAACAAAUAGUAACAGGAUUAAAAACAAAGAAGUGAGUGAGCAGUUUCUCGGCACAGGUCUGAAUUUACCAUUAGAAACGUGUAACUAUAGCUCUGAUUAAUCACCUAUUUAUUAAUCUGCCUAUUUAUUCAGUCAUCCAGGAUCACUCAAUACGCCCCAAUCUUUAAUGCAUCUACUUUAUUAAUUGUAAAACAACACGCUCAUAUUUAAGUGACCUUUACCUACAACUUUACCCAACUAUUUGUAAUAAUCAAACUACAAGCAUUUCAACCACUAAUUUCCUUUCACUUCUCAUCAUGGAGCUCUGUUCUUUACCAAAACUUUGAGCAUGUUUUGAGCUCCACUUCUGAGCUACUUUUUCUAAUGUGAAUUAGUUGUUCUUGUCUUGGCGAUCAUACUUAUCGUAGGAUAUCACACAUAAUCAUUUGUUCUUUUUCUAAUAACUUAUCUCAACAGCACUUGAAAGUAAAUAUUACAACAAGAAGCUUUGAUAAUCUGUAAUGAAAAUUGCAUUUACAGUAUCGUCAUUGAUAUGUAAUCUGAGGAGUCUGGAGUUUACACAACAUGCAGCUUUUUAAAAUUAAACCAAUGAUGUGUUUCUUAACUGGUCAAGGCCACAGUGAACAAAACUUCAAGGUCAUUAAUGGGAGAUAGAAGUUAUCAUAUCUUUACAGGCGGAUUCCUGUUCACACCGGGACCUUCGUAAUCUACAGUGGUUGAUAGUAUGUCUUUGGAUAGAUGACAAACAUGAGAACGUAUCAUGCUCAUGUGUUUAUUAUGAAGUGUACAAGUUGACAUAUUCAAGUGCAACAGUUUAUUGUGAAAAAAUCAAAACAUUUAUUUAUGUUUUCAUAUCAUUAUUGAAAUGUAUAAGACAACCAACAAAAUAUUAAAAUCACGUGCCUCAUAAAACAAUACAGUACUUCAAAUAAUGACAAUGACAAUACAAUUAAAUAGCACUAGAAUAUGCUGUAACAUAAAACAACGUCAAUAAUAAAACACCAAAUAUAAAUUUAGGUACAUAAAUAAUUUAGGUACUUAAUAAAUAAAAACUAUGCAUGAACAGAUCUACUGCUUGAUCAACAAUGCAAAAAUAAAACAGUGGCACAGUAACAUUUUGAUUGAGUUAACCAGUGAAAAACAAUAAUUAUGCAGCUGUGAAACAAUGUUCCUUUGACAACACAAUCAGCAUGUAACAUCUUUUUUUUGUGUGGCUUUACGCUCUCACAAAGGCUUCACUUAAAAAAGGCACAGUUCCUCAGGCACAGUGACAUUUACUGACAAUCAAGUCGUCGAAAGGAGUCAGCGUCAACUUUCCCCUACUGUCAUAGUGCAUUAGGACCAUUGGCUCGUAGGCCGCUGGCACGCAGCAGGGGCGAGGUGACCCUCCUCUGGAAAUCUGAUGCAGCCGAGACUUCACCUGCGUGUGCAUGCUUGCAGGCUUGUAGUUGUGGGGGCAGGUGCCUUCGCAGAAAUGCAUUGUGUACUCAUUUGGGGCCACGAUCCAGUCAGUCCAGCCAAUGUCUUUGAAGGACACAGUGAUAGACUUGCGGCAACACCAUCCUUGUUCACUGCAGACGUCUUCCUUGUUCGAGCGAGGAAGCCUUGUCUUCCGGGCCGGUUUGGGCGGUACGUGGCCUAAUUCCAGAGAAAUGGUUGGGUAUGCCUGGAGGGCAUUUUUCAUACCCACAGCUAUUCCCACAUCCACAACUAGUGCCUCUCCAAUAUCAGUCCUCAACCACCUCUCCACCUCAGGGCUGAUGUCCAGCAUCAAAUUGUGAGUGCUUGACACAUUGGCACGUAUUGGAGAGUUUAUGUGUGUCCAUGCAGAGUUCAUCAGUGUCAUCCGAUUGACUUUAACUUGAAUUGCUUGUCUCGUCUCAGGCUGGACUGAAGUGGGUUUAUCUAAAAUCUGCCUAGAAAUCUUCAGCUCAGCCCGAGUUAGUGUCAGUUCAGUUUGGAUAUUGGUUUUUUUGUGGAAAACAGCUCUGUACCACUGCAUGCGUUGACCUGAAUGUGGGUUUGGAUGUCCUCCUCUCCCAACCGCUUUUAUUGGCUCCACUAAAAAACAAAUAAGCAUAAAGAAAGAAAACCUUCAUUAGAACCAAAGUUGGCAACAUCCUGUGAUGAUUUGACAUUUGGGGAACAUCAUGAUGUGGAACAGCUGAGAGUGGAUCAUACACUUUUAUUUUGAAUUCCAAUGCUCUCUUGAAAAAUAUGUGCUCAAAGUGUAACAUUAUGUACAAGGUGUGCCUAUCUUGCUCAUGGUUUCUAAAAGCAGGAAUGUGUCUCUACAGGACUCUUUAAUUAUAUUUCCAGCCAUUCACAUAUGUUUAAACUAUGCACAGGUAGCUUUCAGGAAGUCAGAUCUUUACCUGGAGCAUGAACUAUUAUAAUUAUAGUUCAUAACGAUUUUUCACAACCACACUGGUACAACACCUUUUGUCUGCAUCUACAGAGGGAGGUUUCUUGAACAAGUCAUGUAACGUUCUUUCCUUCUCCCACUCUGACUUUCCAAAUUGGCUUUUCACGUCAAUGGCAAUGACUAAAAUAGGCCUAAGUGUCUUCCUGAUGUCUGAUGUCCAACACAUAUAUAUCUCACCUGUAGCUGGAAAGAGCACAGUAGACAUGGUUGAUUGCCAGGUUUCCUUCAUCAGCUGGCUGGAAUUUCCUCUCAUCUCUCUCACUUUUUCCCUGUAGAGCUGAUACAUCCUUCUCUGCUCUUCAACCGAGGCCUUUCGGGUUGGCCUGGGCUCCCUGUCCAUGCCCAACGAGCCGAGGAUCCCGGUCUUCACCGCCUCCAGAAGCAGCACCCUGUCGCUGUGCGUCCUGUCUACAUCAGGUGUGCCUUCGUGGGCCACGUGAGGCCGGCUCUCCCCUGAGCUUGAGAGGGAGACGAGGAGCAGCAGCAUGCAGGAGAUGAGUUGGUGGAGUGUGCGUGAUCUGUGCAUAGUGAGCCCAACAGGUCGAGGUUAGCCGACCCACCCAACCUCUUCCUCCCCUCAUCUUCAUGGCUGGAGUGGCCCCCUUUUCGGGGCCGGUCGUGCAGCUCGCCCCGGGGAGGUGGGGGUGGUGGAGCAGGAGCAGCAGCAGCGAGGAGGACUCAUGCUCCUGGGGAGAGGACGGAGCGCAGCAUGGGCUAACUGAUCGGAGAUCCGCGUUGGGGUUUUAUCGUCUUCAAUGAUGGAUGAGCCGAAUAUCCUGAGACGUCGCGGUCUACAGGUAUGGAGUGUCAUGUCAUGUCAGGAGGAUAUGGCCGUUUCCAGGCAAACGCGAGGAUAUAUGAUGGUGAUGAUGUUGUUGGUGAUGAUGAUGAUGAUGAGCCAUUGGCGACGAGGCGGGGGAUUCCUCCAAGAAUUACUUUGGGUGGAGCGGUUGAAUAACCAUUAAAAUCAUUGACAUGUAUUAUUUGUUCUUCUAUCUGUAGCUAAUGAUAAUUUCCCCUCAUGUCUUGUGUCCAUUCUUUACAACAAGCGGUGGCCCCAUCAUGAAUUGUGGCACAUAAUUGGUGCACAUAAUGCAAUUAGUUGAUGUGGGUCUUGUGUUUUUAUUUUGGCGCUGUCCAUUGGUUCUUUCAUGAAGCUGGUUGCCUUGGUGAUAGGUGCUUAACAACCAAGGGUGCCUGUAUGAUUGGCAAAAACAUACCUUCUCCUGGUGCUUUUUUGUUUAUUAAUCAGGAAUGUCCAGAAUAGUAAUAAUUCACAUUUUCUCUCCUGCUAGUUAAUUCAUGUGUAUAUUUGUUUUGUGCACGCUGCAUUGUUUCUAGCCAUGUUAUAUUAUGGAGGAGGGAUGCAGAGUUUGUGAUGAAAGACUCACUGGUCCAAACUGGGUGUUCCCAUUGAGUUGUUUGUUUCUUUUCUGCCAUACAUUUAUCUGCAAUUUAAAUGUAAGUGCAGCCCUGUCAUUAUACUAACAAUGAUAAUGAUGGUUAUGGU